CAGCCGCCACGGUAAUACGUAGGGGGCAAGCGUUAUCCGGAAUUACUGGGUGUAAAGGGAGCGUAGACGGUUAAACAAGUCUGAAGUGAAAUGCCGGGGCUCAACCCCGGAGCUGCUUUGGGAACUGUAGAACUGGAGUGUCGGAGGGGUAAGCGGAAUUCCCAGUGUAGCGGUGAAAUGCGUAGAUAUUGGGAGGAACACCGGCGGCGAAGGCGGCUUACUGGACGACAACUGACGUUGAGGCUCGAAGGCGUGGGUAGCAAACAGGAUUAGAUACCCGCGUAGUCCCUGUCUCUUAUAC
Molecule: ribosomal RNA, 301 nt
Filed under: uncultured bacterium
Lineage: Bacteria
Description: partial 16S ribosomal RNA
Rfam family: Bacterial small subunit ribosomal RNA
Source: RNAcentral